UGGGGAAUAUUGCGCAAUGGGCGAGAGCCUGACGCAGCAACGCCGUGUGAGGGAUGAAGGCUUUCGGGUCGUAAACCUCUGUCAGAAGGGAAGAACGGGUGAGGGUCUAACAGGCCUUUAUUUUGACGGUACCUUCAGAGGAAGCACCGGCUAACUCCGUGCCAGCAGCCGCGGUAAUACGGAGGGUGCAAGCGUUAUUCGGAAUUACUGGGCGUAAAGCGCACAUAGGCGGCCUUGUAAGUCAGGGGUGAAAUCCCACGGCUCAACCGUGGAACUGCCCUUGAAACUGCGGGGCUUGAAUCCUGGAGAGGGUGGCGGAAUUCCUGGUGUAUGAGUGAAAUCCGUAGAUAUCAGGAGGAACACCGGUGGCGAAGGCGGCCACCUGGACAGGCAUUGACGCUGAGGUGCGAAAGUGUGGGGAGCAAACAG
This 429-nucleotide ribosomal RNA is filed under the name uncultured bacterium. RNAcentral describes it as "bacterial SSU rRNA". It matches the Rfam family "Bacterial small subunit ribosomal RNA", at positions 355 to 775 of the family's 1533-position model. The record is from RNAcentral.